UACGAAGGGGGCUAGCGUUGCUCGGAAUCACUGGGCGUAAAGGGUGCGUAGGCGGGUCUUUAAGUCAGGGGUGAAAUCCUGGAGCUCAGCUCCAGAACUGCCUUUGAUACUGAGGAUCUUGAGUUCGGGAGAGGUGAGUGGAGCUGCGAGUGUAGAGGUGAAAUUCGUAGAUAUUCGCAAGAACACCAGUGGCGAAGGCGGCUCACUGGCCCGAUACUGACGCUGAGGCACGAAAGCGUGGGGAGCAAACAGG
Molecule: ribosomal RNA, 253 nt
Filed under: uncultured bacterium
Lineage: Bacteria
Description: partial 16S ribosomal RNA
Rfam family: Bacterial small subunit ribosomal RNA
Source: RNAcentral